AACGAACGCUGGCGGCAUGCCUAACACAUGCAAGUCGAACGAGACCUUCGGGUCUAGUGGCGCACGGGUGCGUAACGCGUGGGAACCUGCCCUUAGGUUCGGAAUAACUCCCCGAAAGGGGUGCUAAUACCGGAUAAUGUCUUCGGACCAAAGAUUUAUCGCCUUUGGAUGGGCCCGCGUUGGAUUAGCUAGUUGGUAGGGUAAAAGCCUACCAAGGCGACGAUCCAUAGCUGGUCUGAGAGGAUGAUCAGCCACACUGGGACUGAGACACGACCCAGACUCCUACGGGAGGCAGCAGUGGGGAAUAUUGGACAAUGGGCGAAAGCCUGAUCCAGCAAUGCCGCGUGAGUGAUGAAGGCCUUAGGGUUGUAAAGCUCUUUUACCCGGGAUGAUAAUGACAGUACCGGGAGAAUAAGCGCCGGCUAACUCCGUG
Molecule: ribosomal RNA, 433 nt
Filed under: uncultured bacterium
Lineage: Bacteria
Description: partial 16S ribosomal RNA
Rfam family: Bacterial small subunit ribosomal RNA
Source: RNAcentral